RNAcentral lists this ribosomal RNA (253 nucleotides) under uncultured bacterium. Its description in RNAcentral is "partial 16S ribosomal RNA". It matches the Rfam family "Bacterial small subunit ribosomal RNA", at positions 524 to 776 of the family's 1533-position model. The record is from RNAcentral.
GACAGAGGUGCCGAGCGUUAGGCGGAAUCACUGGGCUUAAAGCGUGUGUAGGCGGGUCGUUAAGUGUCUUGUGAAAUCCCACCGCUCACCGGUGGAACGGCUGGGCAUACUGGCGACCUUGAGAGGCCUAGGGGCAGACGGAACAAGCGGUGGAGCGGUGAAAUGCGUAGAUAUGUGGAGGAACACCGAUGGCGAAGGCAGCCCCCUGGGUCAAGACUGACGCUCAUGCACGAAAGCGUGGGGAGCAAACAGG